This 620-nucleotide long non-coding RNA is filed under the name Nicotiana benthamiana. RNAcentral describes it as "long non-coding RNA (NBEN_LNC008182)". Lineage: Eukaryota; Viridiplantae; Streptophyta; Magnoliopsida; Solanales; Solanaceae. The record is from RNAcentral.
UUAAUUAGGAAAAAAAGGUUAGAAUCUGAAGGAAAUUAGUAUGGACAUUAUUUAGUGUUAUUCUUGCGUUGUACUAGUUGUUUGGUUAAGUUUCUCUAUUCUUAAGUUUGUUCGUAUUUGCUUUUGUAGGUGUUCACAACUUCCUGAUUCGAGGUCAAAUCGUUCCAAGGAGGAGAGAGUGAAUACCAAUCCAGGGGUCGAGCCCUUCCAAGGAAGGAAGGUACAAUGCCAGAGGAGAUUGAAGAUAAACAAGUCAAAUUUAGACCAUGCCAUUGGUGGAAAAAGCUUGAAAGAGGCUUGUAAAGAAGUUUAAGAACUCCAACUUGUUCCAGAAUUAAACUAUGAAGAAAUUCUCAAGAAAGGAUAAGAACUUGGUUGGAGUUGCCAUCGCAUCCCAAGCUAGUGCUGUUGCAUUCCAAGCUCUAAAACCCAACCUGGAAGAACAUCUUUGAGAUGCGAAUUCUGGUAAUGCAAGAAGAAUUAACUCAAAUAGCCGUCCACUCAAUCGCUUAAAUUAAAAAUAACCGGUGGAGGUAUAAUAUAUGCAUAAUUUAUGUAUUAUGUGUAUGAUUAUGCAUAAUCUAUGUAUAUGGUUAGAAAAAUAAAUAAAGAAUAUUGCC